This 447-nucleotide ribosomal RNA is filed under the name uncultured bacterium. Its description in RNAcentral is "bacterial SSU rRNA". It matches the Rfam family "Bacterial small subunit ribosomal RNA", at positions 355 to 825 of the family's 1533-position model. The record is from RNAcentral.
UGGGGAAUAUUGGACAAUGGGCGCAAGCCUGAUCCAGCCAUGCCGCGUGAGUGACGAAGGCCUUAGGGUUGUAAAGCUCUUUUGGCGGGGAAGAUGAUGACGGUACCCGCAGAAUAAGCUCCGGCUAACUUCGUGCCAGCAGCCGCGGUAAUACGAGGGGAGCUAGCGUUGUUCGGAAUCACUGGGCGUAAAGCGCACGUAGGUGGGCAGUUAAGUCAGGGGUGAAAGCCCGAGGCUCAACCUCGGAAUUGCCUCUGAUACUGGCUGUCUAGAGUUCGAGAGAGGUGAGUGGAAUUCCUAGUGUAGAGGUGAAAUGCGUAGAUAUUAGGAAGAACACCAGUGGCGAAGGCGGCUCACUGGCCCGAUACUGACGCUGAGGUGCGAAAGCGUGGGGAGCAAACAGGAUUAGAUACCCCAGUAGUCCCUGAGCGGGCUGGCAAGGCGCAU